UACGGAGGGUGCAAGCGUUAUCCGGAAUCACUGGGUUUAAAGGGAGCGUAGGCUGCUGCAUAAGUCAGGGGUGAAAGUUUGUCGCUUAACGAUAGAAUUGCCUUUGAUACUGUGCGGCUUGAAAUUAGGUGAGGUUGGCGGAAUGUGACAUGUAGCGGUGAAAUGCGUAGAUAUGUCAUAGAACACCGAUUGCGAAGGCAGCUGGCUAACCUAAAUUUGACGCUGAUGCAAGAAAGCGUGGGUAGCAAACAGG
RNAcentral lists this ribosomal RNA (253 nucleotides) under uncultured bacterium. RNAcentral describes it as "partial 16S ribosomal RNA". It matches the Rfam family "Bacterial small subunit ribosomal RNA", at positions 524 to 776 of the family's 1533-position model. The record is from RNAcentral.